Molecule: ribosomal RNA, 492 nt
Filed under: uncultured bacterium
Lineage: Bacteria
Description: partial 16S ribosomal RNA
Rfam family: Bacterial small subunit ribosomal RNA
Source: RNAcentral
AGUGAACGCUGGCGGUAGGCCUAACACAUGCAAGUCGAACGGCAGCACAGUAAGCGCUUGCUCUUACGGGUGGCGAGUGGCGGACGGGUGAGGAAUACAUCGGAAUCUACUUUUUCGUGGGGGAUAACGUAGGGAAACUUACGCUAAUACCGCAUACGACCUACGGGUUAAAGCAAGGGAUCUUCGGACCUUGCGCGAUUGAAUGAGCCGAUGUCGGAUUAGCUAGUUGGCGGGGUAAAGGCCCACCAAGGCGACGAUCCGUAGCUGGUCUGAGAGGAUGAUCAGCCACACUGGAACUGAGACACGGUCCAGACUCCUACGGGAGGCAGCAGUGGGGAAUAUUGGACAAUGGGCGCAAGCCUGAUCCAGCCAUACCGCGUGGGUGAAGAAGGCCUUCGGGUUGUAAAGCCCUUUUGUUGGGAAAGAAAAGCAGCAGAUUAAUACCCCGCUGUUCUGACGGUACCCAAAGAAUAAGCACCGGCUAACUUCGUG